RNAcentral lists this ribosomal RNA (253 nucleotides) under uncultured bacterium. RNAcentral describes it as "partial 16S ribosomal RNA". It matches the Rfam family "Bacterial small subunit ribosomal RNA", at positions 524 to 776 of the family's 1533-position model. The record is from RNAcentral.
UACAGAGGUGGCAAGCGUUGUUCGGAAUUACUGGGCGUAAAGGGCGAGUAGGUGGCCAUCUAAGUCAGGGGUGAAAUCCUGGAGCUCAACUCCAGAACUGCCUUUGAUACUGGAGAGCUUGAGUCCGGGAGAGGUGAGUGGAACUCCGAGUGUAGAGGUGAAAUUCGUAGAUAUUCGGAAGAACACCAGUGGCGAAGGCGGCUCACUGGCCCGGUACUGACGCUGAUGUGCGAAAGCGUGGGGAGCAAACAGG